This 465-nucleotide ribosomal RNA is filed under the name uncultured bacterium. RNAcentral describes it as "bacterial SSU rRNA". It matches the Rfam family "Bacterial small subunit ribosomal RNA", at positions 331 to 793 of the family's 1533-position model. The record is from RNAcentral.
CCAGACUCCUACGGGAGGCAGCAGUGAGGAAUAUUGGUCAAUGGGCGGGAGCCUGAACCAGCCAAGCCGCGUGAAGGAAGAAGGCGCCAAGCGUCGUAAACUUCUUUUGUCGGGGAACAAAGGGCGCCACGUGUGGCGUUGUGAGUGUACCCGAAGAAAAAGCAUCGGCUAACUACGUGCCAGCAGCCGCGGUAAUACGUAGGUGACAAGCGUUGUCCGGAUUUACUGGGUGUAAAGGGCGCGUAGGCGGACUGUCAAGUCAGUCGUGAAAUACCGGGGCUUAACCCCGGGGCUGCGAUUGAAACUGACAGCCUUGAGUAUCGGAGAGGAAAGCGGAGUUCCUAGUGUAGCGGUGAAAUGCGUAGAUAUUAGGAGGAACACCAGUGGCGAAGGCGGCUUUCUGGACGACAACUGACGCUGAGGCGCGAAAGUGUGGGGAGCAAACAGGAUUAGAUACCCGCGUAU